This 75-nucleotide transfer RNA is filed under the name Chloroflexota bacterium. RNAcentral's name for it is "Chloroflexi bacterium tRNA-Val". It matches the Rfam family "tRNA". Rfam says of the family: Transfer RNA (tRNA) molecules are approximately 80 nucleotides in length. Their secondary structure includes four short double-helical elements and three loops (D, anti-codon, and T loops). Further hydrogen bonds mediate the characteristic L-shaped molecular structure. tRNAs have two regions of fundamental functional importance: the anti-codon, which is responsible for specific mRNA codon recognition, and the 3' end, to which the tRNAs corresponding amino acid is attached (by aminoacyl-tRNA synthetases). tRNAs cope with the degeneracy of the genetic code in two manners: having more than one tRNA (with a specific anti-codon) for a particular amino acid; and 'wobble' base-pairing, i.e. permitting non-standard base-pairing at the 3rd anti-codon position. Lineage: Bacteria; Bacillati; Chloroflexota. RNAcentral also lists the same sequence under 2 other names. The record is from RNAcentral.
GCUCUCGUGGAGCAGUCCGGAGUGCUCGCUACCGUGACAUGGUAGAGGCCGAUGGUUCGAAUCCAUCCGAGAGCA